Molecule: long non-coding RNA, 207 nt
Organism: Mesocricetus auratus (golden hamster)
Lineage: Eukaryota; Metazoa; Chordata; Mammalia; Rodentia; Cricetidae
Exons: 2
Source: RefSeq, a predicted model, not a curated record
UGUAACGCCACUGGGGUAGGAAGCCCGGAAACCUCUCCGUGCUGGGAUCCAAAUCGAGGAGCCUGGGCAUUCCAGAUAAAUACACUUACCACUGAGACACAUCCUUAGAAAAUGAGUAUCUAGCAUGCCUAACUCUUCAUACAUUUUCCUAAAAACUCAACAAAUCAAUUUAUGAAUUUUUAAAUAACACAUUUCAACUUAAAUUUC